This is a regulatory RNA element of Agarivorans albus MKT 106, 128 nucleotides long. It matches the Rfam family "Histidine operon leader". From Rfam's summary of the family: At least 6 amino acid operons are known to be regulated by attenuation. In each a leader sequence of 150-200 bp is found upstream of the first gene in the operon. The record is from Rfam. Lineage: Bacteria; Pseudomonadati; Pseudomonadota; Gammaproteobacteria; Alteromonadales; Alteromonadaceae.
UCAUCACCACCAUCAUCCAGAAUAAGCUUCAGGCGGUUAUCUGCUGGAAGCUUGUAAGACGCUUCCGGUGGUAGAAUAUAACAAUAUUGCAAACCCCCGGAAGGUAAUCCUCCCGGGGGUUUUUUAGU